AUUUUAGAAGUAUAGGUUGUACAGUUACCUUCCAAGUAAAAGGCUGCUAUA
RNAcentral lists this transfer RNA (51 nucleotides) under Eleutherocaulis alte. RNAcentral describes it as "tRNA-Gly". Lineage: Eukaryota; Metazoa; Mollusca; Gastropoda; Systellommatophora; Veronicellidae. The record is from RNAcentral.